RNAcentral lists this transfer RNA (72 nucleotides) under Schistosoma guineensis. RNAcentral's name for it is "tRNA-Leu". Lineage: Eukaryota; Metazoa; Platyhelminthes; Trematoda; Strigeidida; Schistosomatidae. The record is from RNAcentral.
AUAUAGGAUGCCAGAUAACUAUGGGUCAGAUUUAGGUUCUGAAUAUGAACACUUAAGAUGUUCUCCUAUGUU